Molecule: ribosomal RNA, 1493 nt
Filed under: Enterococcus hirae
Lineage: Bacteria; Bacillati; Bacillota; Bacilli; Lactobacillales; Enterococcaceae
Description: bacterial SSU rRNA
Rfam family: Bacterial small subunit ribosomal RNA
Source: RNAcentral
GUGCAUAACGGGGCUAUAAUGCAGUCGACGCUUCUUUUUCCACCGGAGCUUGCUCCACCGGAAAAAGAGGAGUGGCGAACGGGUGAGUAACACGUGGGUAACCUGCCCAUCAGAAGGGGAUAACACUUGGAAACAGGUGCUAAUACCGUAUAACAAUCGAAACCGCAUGGUUUUGAUUUGAAAGGCGCUUUCGGGUGUCGCUGAUGGAUGGACCCGCGGUGCAUUAGCUAGUUGGUGAGGUAACGGCUCACCAAGGCGACGAUGCAUAGCCGACCUGAGAGGGUGAUCGGCCACAUUGGGACUGAGACACGGCCCAAACUCCUACGGGAGGCAGCAGUAGGGAAUCUUCGGCAAUGGACGAAAGUCUGACCGAGCAACGCCGCGUGAGUGAAGAAGGUUUUCGGAUCGUAAAACUCUGUUGUUAGAGAAGAACAAGGAUGAGAGUAACUGUUCAUCCCUUGACGGUAUCUAACCAGAAAGCCACGGCUAACUACGUGCCAGCAGCCGCGGUAAUACGUAGGUGGCAAGCGUUGUCCGGAUUUAUUGGGCGUAAAGCGAGCGCAGGCGGUUUCUUAAGUCUGAUGUGAAAGCCCCCGGCUCAACCGGGGAGGGUCAUUGGAAACUGGGAGACUUGAGUGCAGAAGAGGAGAGUGGAAUUCCAUGUGUAGCGGUGAAAUGCGUAGAUAUAUGGAGGAACACCAGUGGCGAAGGCGGCUCUCUGGUCUGUAACUGACGCUGAGGCUCGAAAGCGUGGGGAGCAAACAGGAUUAGAUACCCUGGUAGUCCACGCCGUAAACGAUGAGUGCUAAGUGUUGGAGGGUUUCCGCCCUUCAGUGCUGCAGCUAACGCAUUAAGCACUCCGCCUGGGGAGUACGACCGCAAGGUUGAAACUCAAAGGAAUUGACGGGGGCCCGCACAAGCGGUGGAGCAUGUGGUUUAAUUCGAAGCAACGCGAAGAACCUUACCAGGUCUUGACAUCCUUUGACCACUCUAGAGAUAGAGCUUCCCCUUCGGGGGCAAAGUGACAGGUGGUGCAUGGUUGUCGUCAGCUCGUGUCGUGAGAUGUUGGGUUAAGUCCCGCAACGAGCGCAACCCUUAUUGUUAGUUGCCAUCAUUUAGUUGGGCACUCUAGCAAGACUGCCGGUGACAAACCGGAGGAAGGUGGGGAUGACGUCAAAUCAUCAUGCCCCUUAUGACCUGGGCUACACACGUGCUACAAUGGGAAGUACAACGAGUCGCAAAGUCGCGAGGCUAAGCUAAUCUCUUAAAGCUUCUCUCAGUUCGGAUUGUAGGCUGCAACUCGCCUACAUGAAGCCGGAAUCGCUAGUAAUCGCGGAUCAGCACGCCGCGGUGAAUACGUUCCCGGGCCUUGUACACACCGCCCGUCACACCACGAGAGUUUGUAACACCCGAAGUCGGUGAGGUAACCUUUUGGAGCCAGCCGCCUAAGGUGGGAUAGAUGAUUGGGGUGAAGUCGAAUCGACGUUUCUCAC